AUACGGAGGGUGCAAGCGUUGUUCGGAAUUACUGGGCGUAAAGCGCGCGUAGGCGGUCUGUUAUGUCAGAUGUGAAAGUCCUCGGCUCAACCGGGGAAGUGCAUUUGAAACUGGCAGACUUGAGUACUGGAGGGGGUGGUGGAAUUCCCGGUGUAGAGGGGAAAUUCGUAGAUAUCGGGAGGAAUACCGGUGGCGAAGGCGACCACCUGGCCAGAUACUGACGCUGAGGUGCGAAAGCGUGGGGAGCAAACAGGAGUAGAUACCCCAGUAGUCC
Molecule: ribosomal RNA, 274 nt
Filed under: uncultured bacterium
Lineage: Bacteria
Description: partial 16S ribosomal RNA
Rfam family: Bacterial small subunit ribosomal RNA
Source: RNAcentral